Molecule: ribosomal RNA, 482 nt
Filed under: uncultured bacterium
Lineage: Bacteria
Description: partial 16S ribosomal RNA
Rfam family: Bacterial small subunit ribosomal RNA
Source: RNAcentral
AUUGAACGCUGGCGGCAUGCCUUACACAUGCAAGUCGAACGGUAACGAGCCUUCGGGUGCCGACGAGUGGCGAACGGGUGAGUAAUACAUCGGAACGUGCCCGAUCGUGGGGGAUAACGAGGCGAAAGCUUUGCUAAUACCGCAUACGAUCUACGGAUGAAAGCAGGGGACCGCAAGGCCUUGCGCGGACGGAGCGGCCGAUGGCAGAUUAGGUAGUUGGUGGGAUAAAAGCUUACCAAGCCGAUGAUCUGUAGCUGGUCUGAGAGGAUGAUCAGCCACACUGGGACUGAGACACGGCCCAGACUCCUACGGGAGGCAGCAGUGGGGAAUUUUGGACAAUGGGCGCAAGCCUGAUCCAGCCAUGCCGCGUGCAGGAUGAAGGCCUUCGGGUUGUAAACUGCUUUUGUACGGAACGAAAAGCCUUCUUUUAAUACAGGAGGGUCAUGACGGUACCGUAAGAAUAAGCACCGGCUAACUACGUG